This 1314-nucleotide ribosomal RNA is filed under the name Triticum aestivum (bread wheat). Its description in RNAcentral is "partial small subunit ribosomal RNA". Lineage: Eukaryota; Viridiplantae; Streptophyta; Magnoliopsida; Poales; Poaceae. The record is from RNAcentral.
AUGGCGGGGUCGAGGUUCGGGUCGUUCAAGUCGGACAAGGGGGACUCGGCCGCGGCGGCGGCGGCGCCGCCGCAGAGGAAGGACCCGUACGAGGUGCUCGGUGUGGCCCGCACCGCCACCGACCAGGAGAUCAAGAGCGCCUUCCGCCGCAUGGCGCUCAAGUACCAUCCGGAUAAGAAUGCUGAUGACCCUGUCGCAUCAGACAAGUUCCAGGAAGUCACCUUUUCUUACAGCAUUCUGUCGGAUCCCCAUAAGAGGCGGCAGUACGACACGUCAGGAUUCGAGGCCAUCGAAACUGAUAGCCAGGAAUUGGAGCUGGACCUAUCCAGUCUCAAUACCGUAAACACCAUGUUUGCAGCUAUUUUCAGCAAGCUUGGUGUACCAAUUAAGACAACUGUUUCAGCAACUGUUUUGGAGGAAGCAUUAAAUGGGUCUAUUGUGGUUUCGCAGCUCCAGCUAGGAAACCCUGUGCGCAAGAAGGUGGAAAAGCAAACAGCUCAUUUUUAUUCUGUAGACAUCACAGAACAGGAAGCUAAGAAGGGGCUAGUUUGCCGUGUGCAUUCAACUGAAAAAAGCAAAUUUAAGCUGCUUUAUUUUGAGCUCGAAGAAAAUGGUGGGUUGAGCCUUGCACUUCAGGAAGAUAGUGUAAAGGCCAGCAAAGUUUCUUCUGCAGGAAUGUACUUUCUUGGGUUCCCUGUGUAUCGUUUUGAGCAAAAUAACUCAGCACCAGCUGCGAAGGAUCCUGAUAGUGCAUUCUUUAAAAGGUUGGAUAGUUUCCAACCAUGUGACAUUAAUGAACUGAAACCAGGAACCCACUUUUUUGCCGUCUAUGGUGACAAUUUCUUCAAAAGUGCAACAUAUACUAUAGAGAUUGUUUGCGCUGAAUCUUUCCCUACUGAAAAGGAGAAGCUACAGAGUGUUGAGGCAAAGAUACUCACAAAAAGAGCUGAGCUGUCUAAAUUCGAGACAGAGUACCGUGAAGUCUUGGCAAAGUUCACAGAAAUGACUAGCAAAUACACACAAGAAAUGCAAACGAUUGACGAGCUUCUUAAUGAAAGGAAUGUAAUCCAUGCAUCCUAUACCAACAAUCCACCUCUAAAACGGACUUCGAGCAGGAAUAAAUCUAAAUCAUCACCUUCUUUCAAAUUUGAUGAAGAAAAAAACCAGAGGAAAGAAAAGAAAGUGAAGGAUCAGCACAUGGAGGGCUGCGGAAGUGAAGAUGACGACUCGAGUGAAAAGAAAACCAAAGAGCGGUUCCCAAGGAAGAGAUGGCUAAACAUCCCUUUCAAAGUUGACAGGAGAAAGCCAUGCUGA